This 532-nucleotide ribosomal RNA is filed under the name uncultured Rhodobacter sp. RNAcentral's name for it is "bacterial SSU rRNA". It matches the Rfam family "Bacterial small subunit ribosomal RNA", at positions 372 to 919 of the family's 1533-position model. The record is from RNAcentral. Lineage: Bacteria; Pseudomonadati; Pseudomonadota; Alphaproteobacteria; Rhodobacterales.
UGGGGGCAAACCCUGAUCUAGCCAUGCCGCGUGAGCGAUGAAGGCCUUAGGGUUGUAAAGCUCUUUCAGCUGGGAAGAUAAUGACGGUACCAGCAGAAGAAGCCCCGGCUAACUCCGAGCCAGCAGCCGCGGUAAUACGGAGGGGGCUAGCGUUGUUCGGAAUUACUGGGCGUAAAGCGCGCGUAGGCGGAUUAUUAAGUCGAGGGUGAAAUCCCGGGGCUCAACCCCGGAACUGCCUCCGAUACUGGUAGUCUUGAGGUCGAGAGAGGUGAGUGGAAUUCCGAGUGUAGAGGUGAAAUUCGUAGAUAUUCGGAGGAACACCAGUGGCGAAGGCGGCUCACUGGCUCGAUACUGACGCUGAGGUGCGAAAGUGUGGGGAGCAAACAGGAUUAGAUACCCUGGUAGUCCACACCGUAAACGAUGAAUGCCAGUCGUCGGUUUUUCAUGUUUAUUCGGUGACACACCUAACGGAUUAAGCAUUCCGCCUGGGGAGUACGGUCGCAAGAUUAAAACUCAAAUGAAUUGACGGGGG